This 370-nucleotide RNase P RNA is filed under the name bacterium CG2_30_54_10. RNAcentral's name for it is "RNase P RNA component class A". It matches the Rfam family "Bacterial RNase P class A". From Rfam's summary of the family: Ribonuclease P (RNase P) is a ubiquitous endoribonuclease, found in archaea, bacteria and eukarya as well as chloroplasts and mitochondria. The record is from RNAcentral.
CAGAACGGCUGGUCGGUCGCGUCUUCCGCCGUGGAAGAUGAGGAAAGUCCGGGCUCCAUAGGGCAGGGCGCUGGGUAACGCCCAGGCUCCAGGCGAGGAAUCGCCUGGGGACGGAGAGUGCAACAGAAAAUACACCGCCGAUGGUCCGCAAGGACACAGGCAAGGGUGAAAUGGUGCGGUAAGAGCGCACCGGCCUUUCGGUGACGAAAGGAUCUGGAAAACCCCGCCCGGAGCAAGACCUAACAGGGGAAUGGAGCGGCCCGCUCCCGGACCCCGGGUUGGUCGCUUGAGGCUGUAGGUAACUACAGUCCCAGAUAGAUGACCGAUACCCGCAAGGGCACAGAACCCGGCUUAUAGGCCGUUCUGCCUU